AGCAGCCGCGGUAAUUCCAGCUCCAAUAGCGUAUAUUAAAGUUGUUGCAGUUAAAAAGCUCGUAGUUGAAUUUCGGGAUCAGUACGCCGGUCGUGCCUUCGGUAUGCACUGGUGUCACUGGUUUCUCCCUUCUGAAGAACCAUCAUGCCAUUAAGUUGGUGUGGCGGGAAAUCAGGACUGUUACUUUGAAAAAAUUAGAGUGUUUAAAGCAGGCUCGCGCUUGAAUACAUUAGCAUGGAAUAAUGAAAUAGGACGUUUGACCCUAUUUUGUUGGUUUCUAGGAUCGACGUAAUGAUUAAUAGGGAUAGUUGGGGGGCAUUAGUAUUCAAUUGUCAGAGGUGAAAUUCUUGGAUUUAUUGAAGACUAACUACUGCGAAAGCAUUUGCCAAGGAUGUUUUCAUUAAUCAAGAACGAAAGUUAGGGGAUCGAAGACGAUCAGAUACCGUCGUAGUCUUAACCAUAAACUAUGCCGACUAGGGAUCGGAUGAUGUUAAUUUUUUAAUGACUCAUUCGGCGCCUU
This 520-nucleotide small RNA is filed under the name uncultured Glomus. RNAcentral describes it as "SSU rRNA". It matches the Rfam family "Eukaryotic small subunit ribosomal RNA", at positions 569 to 1089 of the family's 1831-position model. The record is from RNAcentral. Lineage: Eukaryota; Fungi; Glomeromycota; Glomeromycetes; Glomerales; Glomeraceae.